CAGUCGCCACGGUAAUACGGAGGGUGCAAGCGUUAAUCGGAAUUACUGGGCGUAAAGCGCACGCAGGCGGUUUGUUAAGUCAGAUGUGAAAUCCCCGAGCUUAACUUGGGAACUGCAUUUGAAACUGGCAAGCUAACGUCUUGUAGAGGGGGGUAGAAUUCCAGGUGUAGCGGUGAAGUGCGUAGAGAUCUGGAGGAAUACCGGUGGCGAAGGCGGCCCCCUGGACAAAGACUGACGCUCAGGUGCGAAAGCGUGGGGAGCAAACAGGAUUAGAUACCCCUGUAGUCCCUGUCUCUUAUAC
Molecule: ribosomal RNA, 301 nt
Filed under: uncultured bacterium
Lineage: Bacteria
Description: partial 16S ribosomal RNA
Rfam family: Bacterial small subunit ribosomal RNA
Source: RNAcentral